CAAGAUGUCGCAUAAUGGUAUUGCACCAGUUUUGGGAAUUGGUCUUUGCGAGUUCGAGUCUUGCCAUCUUGU
RNAcentral lists this transfer RNA (72 nucleotides) under Chrysochromulina parva. RNAcentral's name for it is "tRNA-Pro". It matches the Rfam family "tRNA". Rfam says of the family: Transfer RNA (tRNA) molecules are approximately 80 nucleotides in length. Their secondary structure includes four short double-helical elements and three loops (D, anti-codon, and T loops). The record is from RNAcentral. RNAcentral also lists the same sequence under 1 other name. Lineage: Eukaryota; Haptophyta; Prymnesiales; Chrysochromulinaceae.